Long non-coding RNA from Ornithorhynchus anatinus (platypus), 179 nucleotides. RefSeq lists it as uncharacterized. The transcript has 2 exons. NCBI's taxonomy places the organism in Eukaryota, Metazoa, Chordata, Mammalia, Monotremata, Ornithorhynchidae. The record is from RefSeq and is a predicted model, not a curated record.
CUUCCCACGAGGACAUUAUACUCAGUGGAGUCUCUUUCAGUUUUGAAGUGCCCUGACCAGGAAUUGCCAAAAUGAUUUCAUCCAUCAUUUCUGAAGAAGGAAUUGGAGCGCGAGUAGCCCUGAACGAACCACUCACCAGACGAUCUGCUGAAAGUAAAAGAAUAAAACGCUAACCGGAA